UACGAAGGGAGCUAGCGUUGUUCGGAAUCACUGGGCGUAAAGCGCACGUAGGCGGAUGUGUCAGUCAGGGGUGAAAUCCCGGAGCUCAACUCCGGAACUGCCUUUGAUACUGGCGAUCUUGAGAUCGGAAGAGGUGAGUGGAAUUCCCAGUGUAGAGGUGAAAUUCGUAGAUAUUGGGAAGAACACCAGUGGCGAAGGCGGCUCACUGGUCCGAUACUGACGCUGAGGUGCGAAAGCGUGGGGAGCAAACAGG
This 253-nucleotide ribosomal RNA is filed under the name uncultured bacterium. RNAcentral describes it as "partial 16S ribosomal RNA". It matches the Rfam family "Bacterial small subunit ribosomal RNA", at positions 524 to 776 of the family's 1533-position model. The record is from RNAcentral.